UAAAGGGACUGCCGGUGUUAAACCGGAGGAAGGGUGGGGAUGACGUCAAGUCCUCAUGGCCUUUAUGACCAGGGCUACACACGUACUACAAUGGCCGAUAACGAAAGGGCAGCGACACUGCGAGGUGAAGCCAACUACCCGUAAAAUCGGUCUCAGUCCGGAUUGGAGUCUGCAACUCGACUCCAUGAAGUUGGAAUCGCUAGUAAUCGUGGAUCAGCAUGCCACGGUGAAUACGUUCCCGGGCCUU
RNAcentral lists this ribosomal RNA (247 nucleotides) under uncultured Desulfobulbus sp. RNAcentral describes it as "partial 16S ribosomal RNA". It matches the Rfam family "Bacterial small subunit ribosomal RNA", at positions 1141 to 1382 of the family's 1533-position model. The record is from RNAcentral. Lineage: Bacteria; Pseudomonadati; Thermodesulfobacteriota; Desulfobulbia; Desulfobulbales; Desulfobulbaceae.